GUCAACAUACCAUAAUUGUGGAGACCAUGAUCCCCUUUUCACUACUUUGUCCCCCUAAUUUUCCAAUUUCUCCAUUUUUGCCUUAUGAAUGGUUUAUUAAACCUAGAAAAGGUUGACUACACUUUUUCCAUCCAUUCUCUCACUCUCCUCCCUUCAUUGCCCAACCACCCUUUUCUCUUCUCUAUUUCCUCUCAUUUCUCUUUUGUUUAUCUCUCAACCUCCCUUUGUUUCUUUCUUUUUCUCUUUUUCCUUCAUCAUUCCUAGCUUUACAUCACCAUCACCACACCACCUACCCACUACCUUAUCACCUCUCCCCUCUCAUUUUUUCUCCAAAUGCUGCCCUUAGCGUAUCUGCCACCACCGUGCCAACCAUUGCGCACCACACAACUUCUUCCUUUUUUCUUAUUUUCUUUCUCUUCUCAUUUCUCAUCUUUUAAGAGAGAGAUCGAACAUAUUCUUUCCUUCUC
This 467-nucleotide long non-coding RNA is filed under the name Gossypium raimondii (Peruvian cotton). RNAcentral's name for it is "long non-coding RNA (GRAI_LNC009248)". The record is from RNAcentral. Lineage: Eukaryota; Viridiplantae; Streptophyta; Magnoliopsida; Malvales; Malvaceae.